RNAcentral lists this ribosomal RNA (253 nucleotides) under uncultured bacterium. RNAcentral describes it as "partial 16S ribosomal RNA". It matches the Rfam family "Bacterial small subunit ribosomal RNA", at positions 524 to 776 of the family's 1533-position model. The record is from RNAcentral.
UACGAAGGGGGCUAGCGUUGUUCGGAAUCACUGGGCGUAAAGCGCACGUAGGCGGAUUUGUUAGUCAGGGGUGAAAUCCCGGGGCUCAACCUCGGAACUGCCUUUGAUACUGCAAAUCUCGAGUCCGGAAGAGGUGAGUGGAAUUCCUAGUGUAGAGGUGAAAUUCGUAGAUAUUAGGAAGAACACCAGUGGCGAAGGCGGCUCACUGGUCCGGUACUGACGCUGAGGUGCGAAAGCGUGGGGAGCAAACAGG